Long non-coding RNA from Macrobrachium nipponense, 422 nucleotides. RefSeq lists it as uncharacterized. NCBI's taxonomy places the organism in Eukaryota, Metazoa, Arthropoda, Malacostraca, Decapoda, Palaemonidae. The transcript has 3 exons. The record is from RefSeq and is a predicted model, not a curated record.
GAAAGGUCCAUUCGUGGACGUGACUUCCUUGCGGUGAACAUGCAUGAAUGGAGUUAUGUGGUAAAGGACACCAGGAGAAAUGAGGACAGCGUUAUUAUAAAGUCCAACUAAGCAGUCGCAUAAGAUGCAGAACGAAUGGCACACGACUCUCUCUAUAGAGGCAGAUGGGACUGGAAAUUUAGGCCACAUUUCACCCGAGAACGCGACAAAACAUAAUGGUGACCAAGUUUGUUGACCUCAAAAGAGGUACAGACCUGAUAACCUAGAUCCUCCAAAGCCUCGUCUUUGCUGGCUACCUUUACUACUCUGGGAAAGUCAAACUGGGAUUUUGAGUAAGUGGCUACAUCAGAAAAGAUUCGUACAUAAUAGGUACCUAACCAGAACUUUGGAAAUUAGUUUAGUAAUAAAUACUAGUCAAGCGA